CUGAAACUCGCCUGCACGAAGUUGGAGUUGCUAGUAAUCGCAGAUCAGAAUGCUGCGGUGAAUGCGUUCCCGGGUCUUGUACACACCGCCCGUCACACCAUGGAAGUUGGGGUGCCCAAAGUCGGUUAGAAAAUAAACUGCCUAAGGCAAAACCAAUGACUGGGGUGAAGUCGUAACAAGGUAAC
This 185-nucleotide ribosomal RNA is filed under the name uncultured bacterium. RNAcentral describes it as "partial 16S ribosomal RNA". It matches the Rfam family "Bacterial small subunit ribosomal RNA", at positions 1305 to 1500 of the family's 1533-position model. The record is from RNAcentral.